This 303-nucleotide ribosomal RNA is filed under the name uncultured bacterium. RNAcentral describes it as "partial 16S ribosomal RNA". It matches the Rfam family "Bacterial small subunit ribosomal RNA", at positions 507 to 809 of the family's 1533-position model. The record is from RNAcentral.
AGCAGUCGCCGCGGUAAUACGGAGGAUCCAAGCGUUAUCCGGAAUCAUUGGGUUUAAAGGGUCCGUAGGCGGUCUUGUAAGUCAGUGGUGAAAGCCCAUCGCUCAACGGUGGAACGGCCAUUGAUACUGCAGGACUUGAAUUAUUGGGAAGUAACUAGAAUAUGUAGUGUAGCGGUGAAAUGCUUAGAGAUUACAUGGAAUACCAAUUGCGAAGGCAGGUUACUACCAAUUGAUUGACGCUGAUGGACGAAAGCGUGGGUAGCGAACAGGAUUAGAGACCCCUGUAGUCCCUGUCUCUUAUAA